UCAGGGUUAACAAGGCAAAAUAUAUUUUUGAACAUCACACUAGAUAUGAACAGGGCAAUCAGGAAGAAGGCACACAGGGUAUCAAACAGUGAUGAAGAAAAACUUCUGCCCGCAGCAACCGCCAAACAAUGCAUUAUAUACUUGAACAUUUAACAAUGGCAGCAACAUCAACAGCACGAUGAGGAAAAAAACAUGCUUCUAGAUGACUUUCACUCCCUCUUUAUUGAACAUGGAAAUGAGGGUGCCAGCUGCCAUGGGAGAAUGCAGACCUCCAUACACUGUUCAUAAAUAUGAAUUACCAUAAAAAGUCUAGCACGUUCUGAGCUGACAACACAGAUUUCAAUCCCAUGGUUAACUGUGUAUUGAUUCUAAUGCCACAAAAUAUGGUGAAUCAACGACAGACAAAUUAGGAAGGGCCACUUUCAGAUUCAACGGUAGAGGUCAGAACUUGCACCCAGAACAGACAAAUUAGGAAGGGCCACUUUCAGAUUCAACGGUAGAGGUCAGAACUUGCACCCAGACAGUUAUAUUUCAAGACCAAGAAUAACCACUCCACGUUCAAGAGUAUCCCUAUCUAGAUGUCACUUGUUUAUAGAGACAGGAUUGAGCUGGGGUGGCACUAAAACCUGUUGUCAUUUAUCCCCUAUCGUUCUGUAAUUUGGUUUUUAAUUCAGGAACUAGGUAAAGACACAAAAGUCAAGCAGCCAACAACAAUGACGGCAUAAAUUGAGGCGUGAUCGGCCAACAGCUAAAUGCUCAAACAUAACAUAACACUUGCUGCUCUUAACUGAUCAUCACACGACACCAAUAUACAAUUAACUGUUCGCUCAAGUACCUACAAGUUCAAAGUAGGUUGCUUUCUGAUCAUCUCUUAAAUUACCAAAGUCACCUAAAAACCUUCCAAGGGUCAUCUAAUUAGGUACGCCCAAAAUGAACAUGCAUUGGUCUAUUCUUUUACCCGGGAAACAGAUAAUAAUGAAACUCAAAACUUCAAAUUUAUUUCCUUCAAAUCUACAGCAAUAUACAGGAACAUACAUGUUCACUAUAUCAUAAUUUCUUCUUGUUUCAUAAGAUACACAAAUGCAAUAAGGAUCACGUCACGGAAGCUAAAAAACAAGAAAUCUAAUAAAGAAAGCAACCAAGA
Molecule: long non-coding RNA, 1144 nt
Filed under: Populus trichocarpa (black cottonwood)
Lineage: Eukaryota; Viridiplantae; Streptophyta; Magnoliopsida; Malpighiales; Salicaceae
Description: long non-coding RNA (PTRI_LNC002997)
Source: RNAcentral